CCUGUACCCGGGCAGCUGAAAACGCGACUUCCUGUCGCAUCAGCUGCAUGACCUGCAUCCUGCAGA
Planococcus rifietoensis is the source of this 66-nucleotide small RNA. It matches the Rfam family "Bacillaceae-1 RNA". The record is from Rfam. NCBI's taxonomy places the organism in Bacteria, Bacillati, Bacillota, Bacilli, Caryophanales, Caryophanaceae.